CCUACGGGAGGCAGCAGUGGGGAAUCUUGCGCAAUGGGCGAAAGCCUGACGCAGCCAUGCCGCGUGAAUGAUGAAGGUCUUAGGAUUGUAAAAUUCUUUCACCGGGGACGAUAAUGACGGUACCCGGAGAAGAAGCCCCGGCUAACUUCGUGCCAGCAGCCGCGGUAAUACGAAGGGGGCUAGCGUUGCUCGGAAUUACUGGGCGUAAAGGGAGCGUAGGCGGACAUUUAAGUCAGGGGUGAAAUCCCAGAGCUCAACUCUGGAACUGCCUUUGAUACUGGGUGUCUUGAGUGUGAUAGAGGUAUGUGGAACUCCGAGUGUAGAGGUGAAAUUCGUAGAUAUUCGGAAGAACACCAGUGGCGAAGGCGACAUACUGGAUCAUUACUGACGCUGAGGCUCGAAAGCGUGGGGAGCAAACAGGAUUAGAUACCCUGGUAGUCCACGCCGUAAACGAUGAUUGCUAGUUGUCGGGGUGUUUACGAUCUCGGUGACGCAGCUAACGCAUUAAGCAAUCCGCCUGGGGAGUACGGUCGCAAGAUUAAAACUCAAAUGAAUUGACGGCUGAGAGNGCGAGACGACGACGAGGGAGAG
This 591-nucleotide ribosomal RNA is filed under the name uncultured bacterium. Its description in RNAcentral is "bacterial SSU rRNA". It matches the Rfam family "Bacterial small subunit ribosomal RNA", at positions 338 to 946 of the family's 1533-position model. The record is from RNAcentral.